UUCAUGGGGCCCCGUUGGCCUUCCGACCGGUUGUGGAGGGGUUCGGGGCACCAACUUGUCCUUUGGAGGGGGCUGUAGCCGCCUGGAUUGGUGAAACCUUCCAGAUGUGCCCGUGCACAGUGCCGUCCUCGGGAGCUGUUGUGGAGGGGCUUGGGAUGGUGUCUCUCCGCAGUGGUGGGGUUGUCACAGUGUAUGAUUUCGGGGGGCUUUGCCCAGCACUUGAAGUGGCUCCUGCCUGCCUCCACCUAUGCCGGUUCCUCUUGGGGGGUGCUCCCCGAGAUAGUUGCGGCCCAGCACUGUACAGAGAUGUAGCGGACGUCCU
Molecule: long non-coding RNA, 322 nt
Filed under: Androctonus crassicauda
Lineage: Eukaryota; Metazoa; Arthropoda; Arachnida; Scorpiones; Buthidae
Source: RNAcentral